GCACUGCUGAGGAGUCCCACAAUAGGACGAAACGGCCGUCCAGCGU
This is a non-coding RNA of Schistosoma rodhaini, 46 nucleotides long. The record is from Rfam. NCBI's taxonomy places the organism in Eukaryota, Metazoa, Platyhelminthes, Trematoda, Strigeidida, Schistosomatidae.